AAAAAAGAGCACCCCCUUUAUCUCUAUACUGACAAAAAACCAAGAGAAAUGGACAAUAAGUUUCAUUUUUUUCAUUAUCUCCAUUUCUUCUUGCUUCUAUCUUCAUCUUGCUUUUCACUUGUUGCCUUCUCUUGGAUUCCAUAUAAUGAAAACAAGAACUAUGAAGGCUCCUCUGAUCUUGUUAAUCUUGAAUACCAUAUGGGACCUGUUCUUUCUUCUCCUAUUAAACUUUAUGUGAUAUGGUAUGGCCAUUGGAACCCUUCUCAUCAAGCCACAAUUAGAGACUUUCUUAACUCCUUUUCAUCUUCUUAUGCACCUCAUCCUUCUGUAGCUGAUUGGUGGCGAACCGUUCGUCUUUACACAGAUCAAACUGGCCAAAACAUCUCAACUAUUUCACUUUCUGGUGAAUUCUUUGACUAUAAGUACUCACAAGGGAAGUACCUUAGCAGAUUAUCAAUGCAAUAUGUGAUCAAGAAUGCAGUAAGAUCAUACCGUGAAUCUAUACCGUUAAAUUAUAAGAAUGGAGUUUACUUAGUGUUAACAUCUUAUGAUGUUCAAGUUCAAGAAUUUUGUAGGGCUGUAUGUGGUUUCCAUUACUUUACAUUUCCAUCAAUUCUUGGAGUGACAGUCCCUUAUGCUUGGAUUGGUUAUAGUGGGAAACAAUGUCCUGGUUUCUGUGCUUAUCCUUUUGCUUGGCCUAAGAAUUCAGGGAAGCCACCACCAAACACAAGAAAUGGAGGAAACAACUUAAUGGGGGCGCCAAAUGGUGAUCCGGGAGUCGAUGGGAUGAUCAGUGUGAUAGCUCAUGAGCUAGCUGAGGUCUCUAGUAACCCUCUUGUGAAUGCUUGGUAUGCUGGGGAUAAUCCUAUGUCACCUACUGAGAUUGCUGAUUUGUGUUUGGGAGUUUAUGGUACUGGUGCUGGUGGUGGAUAUGUUGGACAAGUUUAUAAGGAUUUUCGGGGGAAUGGUUUCAAUUUACAUGGUGUGAAAGGGAGAAAGUUUCUUGUUCAAUGGGUCUGGAAUCCACUCAGGAGAAGAUGCUUUGGUCCUAAUGCCAUGGAUUAGGCAAGUAGAAGGAUGUUUGUCUUGUACAGAGUUGUUUUCAACUUUAAUUAUGCCUUUUUAGUAUAUCGCGUUAUGUAAUUUCUUUUGUUUCCCAUAAUGUAUGCUUCAGAAAAUAAUCGCGUUAUUGUUAUUGUCAUUCUGGCCUAUGCAUUAA
Molecule: unclassified non-coding RNA, 1219 nt
Filed under: Hevea brasiliensis (rubber tree)
Lineage: Eukaryota; Viridiplantae; Streptophyta; Magnoliopsida; Malpighiales; Euphorbiaceae
Source: RNAcentral